UACGGAGGGGGCUAGCGUUAUUCGGAAUUACUGGGCGUAAAGCGCACGUAGGCGGAUCUGCAUGUCAGAGGUGAAAUCCCAGGGCUCAACCUUGGAACUGCCUUUGAAACUGCGGGUCUUGAGUUCGAGAGAGGUGAGUGGAAUUCCGAGUGUAGAGGUGAAAAACGUAGAUAUACGGAGGAACACCAGUGGCGAAGGCGGCUCACUGGCUCGAAACUGACGCUGAGGUGCGAAAGCGUGGGGAGCAAACAGG
RNAcentral lists this ribosomal RNA (253 nucleotides) under uncultured bacterium. Its description in RNAcentral is "partial 16S ribosomal RNA". It matches the Rfam family "Bacterial small subunit ribosomal RNA", at positions 524 to 776 of the family's 1533-position model. The record is from RNAcentral.